AGCCUUAGUCUCUCACGCCUCAGUUCAGUUCACAGUCAAAUGAAGUCAUGAAUACCUAAUAUCAUAUCACUGACCACUCGCCGCCUUCAACUUCAAGUUCAAGUCAUCUAUGGGAUAUGCAGCAAUAUAUGAAGACAUGGAGUUGAAAGAUUCAUGCGAGACUCGGCAGGUAAACAUAUGUGCCUACUGCCUAUUUCUGUGAUUGUUAAAACUUAAAGGCUAUCUUCAAUUUUGCUAAUAAUUUGACGAACCUAUACUGCUUUAGUGCGUAACAACAUUAAUCAUCAUUUUGUAAAAUAGUAACAUAUAUAAAUAUUUAUUCUCUGGAGCACUUGUAAAUUGUAAAAUAGUAACAUAUAUAAAGAAUUUACUUGUAAAUUGUAAUGGAAUGAUCUUGUAAUUUAUUUCUGAUUUCUGUUAAUACCACACAGCUAUAAGAACUAGGGGAUGGACUCUGGAGCACCGGAGCAGUGCUGACUGCCGAGCAAUUUUCAAGAUUCAAGACUAAACUUCCACUUUCCACUGCUGAGCAUAUUUCAAGCUUUAAUUUCC
This 552-nucleotide long non-coding RNA is filed under the name Daucus carota (carrot). Its description in RNAcentral is "long non-coding RNA (DCAR_LNC007553)". Lineage: Eukaryota; Viridiplantae; Streptophyta; Magnoliopsida; Apiales; Apiaceae. The record is from RNAcentral.